Molecule: non-coding RNA, 65 nt
Organism: Dipodomys ordii (Ord's kangaroo rat)
Lineage: Eukaryota; Metazoa; Chordata; Mammalia; Rodentia; Heteromyidae
Source: Rfam
GGUGGCUCAGUGGUAGAGCGCGUGCCUUGCAUGCAGGAAGCCUUGGGUUCAAUUCCUCAGCACCA